CGCGGCCUAGACAACUACGAAGUACCGUCGGAGACUACAUUUCCCGGGCGGCGCCGCGGGAACCGGAAGCGCUUGGGGUCCAGCACGCAGGCGCAAAGUCCCCUCUGGUUAUAUAAGGAGGGUGCCGCAGCACCUCGUUCUUUUGCGUUUGCAUUUCCUUCUUGACCGCCUGAGUUUGUUCUCCUGCAUCGUCCUCAUCCGAUGUCAUCCAGCCCUGAGAAUUCAGGGUUUUUACCCUGUGUGGUUAGCGUGAUCAAAGGGUACAGAAUGGAUCUUGAAGGAGAGAGUUGUUGCCGGGCCUCCAAAGGAACCCCGAUGUCGUGUAGACAUCGAGAGCCUUUGAUCUCCUGAUCUCUGAAAGCAGACUUGGUGUGGACCAGGAUGAAUCCAGGAGUGGCAAAGGAUUGGGAAGUGAUGUGCACAUUUUCUAAGUACCCAUGCCCACAUGGCUGAACCGACGUAAAAUCUGGAGAAUGGAGGAGGUUUAGAGCCCUGUGUGUCACUGGGCAGAAAAUUGAUUGCAGCCUGAUCUUCCUCUUGGCUCAGUCUGUGCUGUAACAGGAGUUUCUCACUGGUGGAGUUGGAAUACAAGGCCUCUUGAGAAAAAAUUGACCCUGUGUUUUCCUGAGAAAGCAUAAUGGAAUUUUGCACGCUUCCUUAUCUGGAGAAGGAAAAUAAAAAAUUCUUGAAAGCAAA
This is a long non-coding RNA of Artibeus jamaicensis (Jamaican fruit-eating bat), 696 nucleotides long. RefSeq lists it as uncharacterized. The record is from RefSeq and is a predicted model, not a curated record. The transcript has 5 exons. NCBI's taxonomy places the organism in Eukaryota, Metazoa, Chordata, Mammalia, Chiroptera, Phyllostomidae.